RNAcentral lists this ribosomal RNA (2907 nucleotides) under activated sludge metagenome. RNAcentral describes it as "bacterial LSU rRNA". It matches the Rfam family "Bacterial large subunit ribosomal RNA". The record is from RNAcentral.
UCAAGCUAUUCGGGCGCAUGAUGGAUGCCUUGGCGACAGCGGGCGACGAAGGACGCGGCAAGCCGCGAUAGUCCACGGGUAGGCGCAGGCGGCCCUUGAUCCGUGGGUUUCCGAAUGGAGCAAUCCGGCGCCGUUGAUGCGGCGCCAUCCCGGCAUGAAUCCAUAGUGCCGGGAGGCCACACCCGGGGAAGUGAAACAUCUCAGUACCCGGAGGAGAAGAAAUCAAUCGAGAUUCCGUGAGUAGUGGCGAGCGAAAGCGGAAGAGCCCAAACCGCCGGGCGUGCCCGGCGGGGUUGCGGGACCUGGCCGCGGCGGGCAAGCCGUUAGCGCAAGCCGCUGGAAAGCGGCGCCGCGGAGGGUGAAAGCCCCGUGCGCGAAAACAGCUUGCCCCGCCUACAGGCAUCCCAAGUAGGGCGGGACACGUGAAACCCCGCCUGAAUCCGGGGGGCCCACCCCCCAAGGCUAAAUACCUGCUGUCGACCGAUAGUGCACAAGUACCGCGAGGGAAAGGUGAAAAGAACCCCUUUUAGGGGAGUGAAACAGACCCUGAAAUCAUGCGCCCCCAAACUGUGGGAGCCCCCUUUGGGGGUGACCGCAUGCCUUUUGCAUAAUGAGCCUGCGAGUUGCCGCGCCGCGGCGAGGUUAAGCCCUUGGCGGAGCCGAAGCGAAAGCGAGUGCGAACAGCGCGAUUUCCAGUCGCGCGCGGCAGACCCGAAGCUGGGUGAUCUAUCCAUGGCCAGGCUGAACCCCCGGUGAUGCGGGGCGGAGGGCCGAACCAGUUGAUGUUGAAAAAUCUUUGGAUGAGCUGUGGAUAGGGGUGAAAGGCCAAUCAAACCCAGUGAUAGCUGGUUCUCUCCGAAAUAGCUUUAGGGCUAGCCCCGGGCCAUUGGCGCGCGGGGGUAGAGCUACCGGCUGACCGAGGGUCCCCACCGGGAUGCCGACGUCAUCCGAACUCCGAAUACCGCGCGCACCUACCCCGGGAGUCAGACGGCGGGGGAUAAGCUCCGUCGUCAAAAGGGAAACAGCCCAGACCGCCGACUAAGGCCCCCAAUCGCCCGCUGAGUGGAUUGUAAGGAGGUGGGGCCGCGCAGACAGCCAGGAUGUUGGCUCAGAGGCAGCCAUCAUUUAAAGACCGCGUAAUAGCCCACUGGCCGAGUGGCCCCGCGCCGAAAAUGAUCGGGACUGAAGCGGGCAGCCGACGUCGCGGAGACGCGAUUGUGAUCGCGAUCUGGUAGGAGAGCGCCGCAUGCCGGCUGAAGGCGCGCCGCGAGGCGCGCUGGACGGCAUGCGGGUGACCAUGCAGGCAUGAGUAGCGACAAGGCGGGUGCGAAUCCCGCCCACCGAAAAUCCAAGGUUUCCUGGGCCAGGUUCGUCCCCCCAGGGUCAGUCGGGUCCUAAGGCGAGGCCGAAAGGCGUAGUCGAUGGCCGCCAGGCGAACAUUCCUGGACCCGUGGGGUUAGGCCGCCGGAUGACGCGGCGAAGCUGAGGCGCCUCCGAAUGGUUGUGGAGGUCGGGCGCAGGCCCGGGUGCCCUUUCCGCAAGGUUUGGGCGAAGGUCUUGGCGGAGCCGCCGAGAAAAGUCCGUCGUCCGCUUGAAUCCCCCCGGCCCGUACCGCAAACCGACACAGGUGGAUGGGUCGAGAAGACUAAGGUGCGCGAGAGAAACCACGUUAAGGAACUCGGCAAAAUGGCCCCGUAACUUUGGGAGAAGGGGCGCUCCGGGCAUUAAGGGUCAAACUAAGGUGCCCGGAGCCGCAGUGAAUGGGCCCAGGCGACUGUUUAGCAAAAACACAGCACUAUGCCAACUCGCAAGAGGACGUAUAUGGUGUGACACGUGACCAAUGCCGAAAGGUCAAGCGGACGGGUCAGCCGCAAGGCGAAGCUCCGAAGUGAAGCCCCGGUGAAUGUCGGCCGUAACUAUAACGGUCCUAAGGUAGCGAAAUUCCUUGUCGGGUAAGUUCCGACCUGCACGAAUCGUGUAACGAUCUGGGCGCUGUCUCAACGUGGAUCUCGGUGAAGUUGUAGUUCCGGUGAAAAUGCCGGAUACCUGCGGAAGGACGGAAAGACCCCAUGAACCUUCACUGUUGCCUGACAUUGGCAAUCGGCCAUCCACGUGCAGGAUAGGUGGGAGGCUUUGAGGCUCCGGCGUCAGCCGGUGCGGAGCCGGCGGUGAGAUACCACCCCUGGGUGCCUGGUUGUCUAACCCCGACCCGUCUAUCCGGGCGCGGGACCGUGUCAGGCGGUCAGUUUGACUGGGGCGGUUUCCUCCCAAAACGUAACGGAGGAGCUCGAAGGUCGGCUCAGCGCGUUUGGCAACCGCGCGUCGAGUGCAAGGGCACAAGCCGGCCUCACUGCGAGACCGACGGGUCGAGCAGACGCGAAAGCGGGACCUAGUGAUCCAGCGGUGGAAUGUGGCAUCGCCGUUGCUCAUCGGACAAAAGGUACUCUGGGGAUAACAGGCUGAUCGCGCCCAAGCGUCCACAGCGACGGCGCGGUUUGGCACCUCGAUGUCGGCUCAUCACAUCCUGGGGCUGAAGCAGGUCCCAAGGGUUCGGCUGUUCGCCGAUUAAAGUGGUACGCGAGCUGGGUUCAGAACGUCGUGAGACAGUUCGGUCCUUAUCCUCCGCAGGCGGAGGACGGUUGACGGGAGCGCUCCCUAGUACGAGAGGACCGGGGGCGGGCGGCCUCUGGUGUUCCGGUUGUCCGGCCAACGGGCACUGCCGGGUAGCCACGCCGCGACGGGAUAAGCGCUGAAAGCAUCUAAGCGCCAAGCCUCCCCGAAGAUGAUCCGUCCCAGUGCGCAAGCACUCUGAAGGCCCCCGGAAGAAGACCGGGUUGGCAGGCCGGGGGCGCAAGGCCAGCGAUGGCUUCACCCUACCGGUUCUGAUCGGCCGUGCGGCUUGACCGC